CAUCCGCGUCAUUGUGAGUCCCACAAGAGGCAAAGGUGUAGAAUGUGAAGACUGUGAUCCACUUCCUCUAAACGGGGAUGAGCCAAGAAGAGUAAUGGCGUCCUUAGCCAUACCUUCAUCCAUGCCACCGACCAAAUCAUCGCCUUUACCACCAUUAAUGGCUACUGCAAGUCCCAAGCAUUGGUCCUCAGCUUCAGCUUCAACUUCCAGAAGGAGAAAACUCAAUCCUCUCAGAAUUUCAGCUUUAAGUCUCCCCGAUUCGUCUCCUCUGCUAAAAGCAGCUCACCACACUGUGGACACGUUCAUUAAAAGUGGCAUGGUCGUUGGGUUGGGCUCUGGUCAAGCUUCUACAAUGGCAAUUCAGUACCUGGGUCAGCAACUUCGUACAGGUGCUUUCAAAGACAUUGUGGGAGUACCCAUGUCUGUUGUGAGUGCUAAUGAAGCCGCCAAGGAAGAAAUACCAUUGCACGACUUCCAAGAUAAUUCUCGAAUUGAUUUUGCAUUUGAUGAUGCUGAUGUUAUAGAAGAAGGCACUCUUACAGCUAUUAUUGGGAGACGGAGUUCGCAAGGUGAUGAGUCCCUUUUCCAAGAGAAGAGUAUACUAAAUGCAGCUGAAAAUCUGGUGUUCAUGAUAUCAAAGAACCAGUACAAAGGUGGUUUGGAGGGUUCCAUCCCAGUUUUGGUUAAUUCUCUCAACUGGUUGGAACCUGCUGAAGAAAUUGAUGACUUGUUUUUGGGUGAUGCAGAGGUAUGGCGGAGACCAUCUAUAGGAUAUGCAGAUCCACUAGGGGGUGACUUCCCAUUUGUCACCAGAGAAGGCCAUAAUGUUCUUGAUGUCAUUUUCACAUCUCCAAUACUAAGCCUUGAGAAAGUUGCAGAAAGCCUUGAUAAAAUUGAUGGGGUUGUUGAUCAUGGUGUCAUUUCUAAGUUCCCUGUCCUGGAUCACAUCGUCUCACAAAAAUUAUGUACUGUAGUAAUUGCAUCAGAAAGUGGCUUGUACAUUGUUGAUAAUGUCUCAAAGAAUCCAGUAAAGGGAACCUGAUUGCUACAGCCAACAAGACAAUCUUAUGUGGUUCCUGUUGUCAUUUCCAAACAUAAUCUUAAUGUAAAGGCAAGGGUAAGCUGGAUCAACCCUGACUUGGAGAGCUCUAGAGGCGGAAUGUACAUAGUCAGCUGUUCGGCCGCCACAACCGAGGGUUGGACAGGGAUAGGAAUACCUGAAAUGUCUAUUUUGCCCUUAGAGUGGCUAGUAGGUUUAUAUAACCCUGAAUUUUUGUAAACUGUCCUUUAAACUCUAUUUCUCUCUGGAUCGCGUGUA
Humulus lupulus (European hop) is the source of this 1318-nucleotide RNA transcript. It is a transcript of the gene named probable ribose-5-phosphate isomerase 4, chloroplastic, with no coding region annotated. NCBI's taxonomy places the organism in Eukaryota, Viridiplantae, Streptophyta, Magnoliopsida, Rosales, Cannabaceae. The record is from RefSeq and is a predicted model, not a curated record. The transcript is spliced from 11 exons.